GAAUGUGUGAGGUGAAAAAGGAGAGGUUGGCUUCAUGCAAUAUCUCGCCUUCAUCAUUCCCUCCUGGGUCUUUAAGGCCAGACUCCCCGAGAGAGCACAGAUAAUGACUGAAAAUGAAAAGGAGAAAACUGCUUCAUGCAAUUUCUCCUGCUUAAUUGUCUCUUGGCUCUUUAUGGCCUAGCUCCUUGAGAGCAUGGAGAAUGUUUGCAGAUGAAAAGCAGAGAUAUGCUUCAUGCAAUAUCUCUCCUUUAUCAUUCUCUCCUGGGCCUCUAAGGUGAAACUCCUCGAGAGAGAGCACAGAAAAUGAUUGCAAAACAAAAGGAGAAAACUACUUCAUGCAAUUUCUCCUGCUUAAUUGUCUCUUGGGUCUUUAAGGCCUAACUCCUUGAGAGCAUGGAGAAUGUUUGCGCAUGAAAAGCAGAGAUAUGCUUCAUGCAAUAUCUCUCCCUCUUAAUGAAAACCUGGGGCUUCAAGACCAAACUCCUUGAGAGAACAGAAUUAGUGUUUGAAAAUGAAAAGGAGAAACCUGCUCCAUGCAGUUUCUCCUCCUUAAUUCUCCUUUGGUCUUUAAGGCCUAACUCUUUGAGAGCAUGGAGAAUGUUUGAGGUGAAAAAGGAGAGAGUUGCUGUAUGCAAUAUCUCCUCCUUAAUUCUCUCUUGGGUCUUUAAGGCCCAACUCCUUGAGAGCAUGGAGAAUGUGUGAGGUGAAAAAGGAGAGGUUUGCUUCAUGCAAUAUUCAUCAUCAUCAUUCAUCAUUCUCUCCUGGGCCUUUACGGCCAAACUCCCCAAGAGAGCACAGAAAAUGAUUGCAAAAAAAAAGGAGAAAACUACUUCAUGCAAUUUCUCCUGCUUAAUUGACUCUUGGGUCUUUAAGGCCUAACUCCUUGAGAGCAUGGAGAAUGUUUGCGCAUGAAAAGCAGAGAUAUACUUCAUGCAAUAUCUCUCCCUCUUAAUGAAAACCUGGGGCUUCAAGACCAAGCUCCUUGAGAGAACAGAAUUUGUGUUUGUAAAUGAAAAGGAGAAAUCUGCUUCAUGCAGUUUCUUCUCCUUAAUUCUCCUUUGGUCUUUAAGGCCUAACUCCUUGAGAGCUUGGAGAAUGUUUGAGGUGAAAAAGGAGAGAGUUGCUUUAUGCAAUAUCUCCUCCUUAAUUCUCUCUUGGGUCUUUAAGGCCCAACUCCUUGAGAGCAUGGAGAAUGUGUGAGGUGAAAAGGGAGAGGUUUGCUUCAGCAAUAUCUCUCCUUCAUCAUUCUCUCCUGGGUCUUUAAGGCCAAACUCCCCGAGAGAGCACAGAAAAUGAUUGCAAAUAAAAAGGAGAAAACUGCUUCAUGCAAUUUCUCCUCCUGAAUUGCUCUUGGGUCUUUAAGGCCUAACUCCCUUAGGGAUAGCAUGGAGAAUGUCUGAGGUGAAAAAGGAGAGAUUUGCUUCAUGCAAUAUCUCUCCUUCCUAAUUCUCUCCUGGGUCUUUAAGGCCAUACUCACUGAGGUUGCAGAAUGAGUCUUUGAAAAUGAAAAGGAGACAACUGCUUCAUGCAAUAUCUCCUCCCUAAUUCUCUCUUGGAUCUGAAAGCCCUAACUCCUCGAGAGAGCAUACAGAAUGUUUGAGGUGAAAAAGAGAGCUUUGCUUCAUGCAGUAGCUCUCCUACUUAAUUAAAUCCUUGGUCUUUAAGGCCAAACUCCUUGAGAAAGCAGAAUGAACAUUUGAAAAUGAAAAGGAGAAAUCUGCUUCAUGCACUAUCUCCUCCUUAAUUCUCUCUUGGGUCUUUAAGGCCUAACUCUUUGAGAGCAUGGUGAAUGGUUGAGGUGAAAAAGAAGAGAUUGGCUUCAUGCAAUAUCUCUCCUUCAUAAUUCCCUCUUGGGUCUUUAAGGCCAGACUCCCCGAGAUAGCACAGAUAAUGAUUGAAAAUGAAAAGGAGAAAACUGCUUCAUGCAAUUUCUCCUGCUUAAUUGUCUCUUGGGUCUUUAAGGCCUAUCUCCUUGAGAGCAUGGAGAAUGUUUGCGGAUGAAAAGCAGAGAUAUGCUUCAUGCAAUAUCUCUCCCUCGUAAUGAAAACCUGGGGCUUCAAGACCAAACUCUUUGAGAGAGCAGUAGUAAUGUUUGAAAAUGAAAAGGCGAAACCUGCUUCAUGCAAUUUCUCCUCCUUAAUUCUCCUUUGGUCUUUAAGGCCUAACUCCUUGAGAGCUUGGAGAAUGUUGGAGGUGAAAAAGGAGAAAUUUGCUUCAUGCAGUAUCUCUCCUACUUAAUUUACCUUCUGGGCCUUUAAGGCCAAACUCCUUGAGAAAGCAGAAUGAAUAUUUGAAAAUGGAAAGGAGAAACCUGCAUCAUACAAUAUCUCCUCCUUAUUUCUCUCUUGGGUCUUUAAGGCCAAACUUCCUGAGAGCAUGGAGAAUGUUAGAGGUGAAAAAGGAGAGAUUUACUUCAUGCAAUAUCUCCUCUUUAAUUCUCUCUUGGUCCUUUAAGGCCAAACUUCUUGAGAGCAUGGAGAUCUUUUGAGGUGAAAAAAGGAGAGAUUUGGUUCAUGCAAUAUGUCUCCUUCUUAAUGUAUAUCCUGGGUCCUUAAGUCCAAACUCCCUGAAACAGGCGAAUGAAUGUUUGAAAAUGAAAAGGAGAAACCUACUUCAUGCAAUAUCUCCUCCUUAAUUCUCUCUUGGGUCUUUAAGACCUAACUCCUUGAGAGCAUGGAGAAUGUCUGAGGUGAAAAGCAGAGAUUUGCUUCAUGCACUAUCUCACCCUCAUAAUUCUCUCUUGGAUCUUUAAGGCCAUACUUGCUGAGAUAGCCCAAUGAGGCUUUGAAAGUGCAAAGGAGAAACCUGCUUCAUGCAAUCUCUCUUCCUCGAUUCUCUGUUGAGCCUUAAAAUCCUAAUACCUUGAGAGAGCAUAAAGAAUGUUGGAGACAAAGAAGGAAAGAUUUGCUUCAUGCAGUAUCUCCCCUUCAAUAUUCUCUCCUGGGUCUUUAAGACCAAACUCCCUUGAGAGUGGAGUGAAUGUUUGAAACUGAAGAGGAGAAACCUUCCUCAUGCACUUUCUCCUCCUUACUUCCCUCUUGGGUCUUUAAGGCCUAACUCCCUAAACGAAUAGGGACAACCUUUGAAGUGGAAAAGGAGGGAUUGUCUUCAUGCCAAUCUCCUGGGUCUUUAAGACCAAACUCCCUGAGAGCAGACUGAAUGAAAAUGAAAAGGCGAAAGCUGUUUGACGCAAUUUCCCCUCCUUACAUCUCUCUUAGACUUUAAGGCUUAACUCCUUGAGGGAGCGAGGAGAAUAUUUGAGGAAUAAAAAGGAGAGAUUUGCUUCAUGCAAUACGUUCUUCCUAAUUCUCUCUUGGGCCUUUAAGAACUAACCCCUGCAGAGAACAGAGAGAACACUUGAGGUGAAAAGGAGACAUUUGCUUCAUGCAAUAUCUCUCCUUCUUAAUUCUCUCUUGGGUCUUUAAGGCCUAACUCCUUGGGAGAUCAGAGAGAAUGUUUGAAGUGAAAAAGGAGAAUUCUGCUUCAUGCAGAAUCACCUCCUUAAUUCCCUCAUGGGACUCUAAGGACAAAAAAUGUUGCAAGAUGAGGAGGAGAGAAAUGCUUCAUGCAUUAUCUACUCAUUAAUUUUCUUUUGGGUCUGUGAGGUCUAACAAAGAGAGAUUGUCAAAGGUGAAAGAGGAGAGAUUUGCUUCAUGUAGAGUCUCCAUUUUCAAUCAUACUUAGGUCUUCACGACUUAUUGCCUCACAUGUGCAGGGACUAUUUUAGGCAGAAAAGGAGAGACUUGCUUCAUGCAAUGUGUACCUAAUUCUCUCCUUGUUCUUUACGGCUUAAAUACUUGAGAAAGCGGAGAGAAUAUAUGAGAUGAAAAAUGAGAGAUGUGCUUCAUGCAGUAUCUCCCAUUUAAUUUUCACAUAGGUCUUCAUGACCUAAUGCCCCGAGUGAGCAGAGAGAAUAUUUUAUGUGGAAAAGGAGAGCUUUGCUUCACACAAUAUCUCUCCUUCAUUCUCUUCUGGGUCUUUACGACCUAAUGCCCCAAGUGAGCAAAGGAAAUGAUUGAAGAAGAAAGGGAAACAUUGGCCUCACACCAUAUCUCCUUCAUAAAUGUCUCCUGGGCCGUUAAGGCCUAAUACCUUGAGAGAGCAUAAAGAAUGCUUGAGGUGGAAAAAGAGAGAUUUGCUUCAUGCAACGUCUCCCCCUUAAUUCUCUUCUGGGUCUUCAAGGCCCGACUCCAUGAGCGAUCAGAGAUAAUAUUUGAAAUGGAAAAGAAGUUGGCUUCCUGCAAUAUGCACUUCAUAAUUGUCUCCUGGGUCUUUAACUCCUAAUUCCUUGGGAGAGCAAAGAGAAUAUUUGAGGAGAAGAAGGAGAGAUUUACUUCAUGCAAUAUCUUUCCUCGUAAUUCUCUCCUGGGUCUUCAAGGCCUGGCUGCUUCAGCCAGUUUGAGAUACAAAACCCACAUGUCUCCAUGUUAAUUCCCCUUAAAACCUCUGAAAGAGUUUUCACCUUUAUCCUCUCACACUACCUGCGAGGGACGAACGGCAUCAAGGCCCAGGCCUUCUGGGACAGCGAAUCAGAUGCAGGAACCCACAAAGGUUCAGCUCUGACUUCUCAACAGCCCAAGGAGAAAGAUAGGGUACCAGCCUUGGUAUAGAAAGGCUCUCUGGAAUGAAUGUUCAUCAGCCACAGAAGAAGAGAGGACGCGUGGAAAUCAGGCAACUGUCCGCGGUCCCUGUCACCACCUCCGGUCUUUAUGGCCCCAAAUGAGGGAGUAGGCAAAGGGGGCUUUACUUCACGUAGAAGUAAAUGUAGUCCCCUGCAGCCUCCUAGGAAGAUCUCUACCCUGGGUCUUCGACGCUCAGGUGCUGGAGGAAGAAAGCAGGGUCCCCUCCCCACCCGUCUUCCUUCUCUAUGGCUGGGAGGGAGAGAAAAGAGAAAAUCUGUAGAGGUUUAGGGGGCUGAAAAAUUCUAUGGCAUUGAAAUGAUGUCAGCUCACUAUUUAAAUGGCUCAUGCAUAACCCAGAGGUAAAUGUUUCCCUUCUUUGCUAAUCAUCUUUAACCAUAACAAACUCAAUUUUUCUAUCCUCAUCAAUGUUCAAUGGAAAAAUACUUUCUCUGAUUCAGUUAAAAUCAAGCUCAACCACCUGCAUUCAUUAACUCCACAUCAUUUCAAAACCCAAUAAAGUAGUUAAAUAGAUAAAUAAAUAAAGUUUAAAAAGCCCUAGGGAACCCAAAACUCAAUGAAAUAGUGUAAAAUUAAAACUAAUCAUUAAAAGUCAACAUAUAAAGCAAGGCAUCAUCGACAUAUAAUCAUCACAUAUAAUUCUCCUUUCCAUUGAAUAUUAGAUAUAUGGAAAUUUUUUGGUAGAAAUCAUUCUCUCUAGAUUCCGGAUUUGGAAGACGAAGCACGGGAAACUUGAUCUCUGCUUUUUUGGGCCAUUAUUAGCCUAAGUGGCUUGAGUGAGCAAGGUGACUAUGACCCCAAAGUCCUAUCUAUUCUACUGGAAAAGCCGGGAGCUUAAUGUCAUCCCAAUCGGAGCUCUGAAUUUGCUUUAUUUGAAAACUCUUGUUGUUUGUUGAGAAGAUCAUGACCUCUGUUUCUUUAACAUUGCACACGUAGUAUCAUGUCCUAACAGCCCGGAAUAUCUAAAGAUUAAGUCCACGGGCCAGGUGGAGAUUGUCAGCCUGGGCUCGGUCUUCCCCACCCGGGGCAGCGAGCACCGGGUCCCGACGCGACGCAGAGCAGCGGUAAGCAGUCUCCCCCGGGGACACGACAGAGCAGGCCGCUGGCAACGCCCAAACAGAGGUACGAGGGAGGGGGAGAGAAGAUGGGCCUGAGUGGCGUGCUCUUGCCGUAUCCCUGGGAUGGACCUGGGGACAGGGGAGAGUCAACUGGUUACGGUCACACCUGCUGAGCCUUAUCCAUUUCAGAAUUUGUGGGGAGGAUAUCUGUUCCCUCUGGCAGGAGAGUAUCAUCGGCCUUCCCGUAUCCUGGAAGAAUGAGAUGAAGUUACAGGAGGAACGAGAGAGCAUCCCCGGCUCAUGAAGGACGAGGCGUGUGAUUGGGUCUGCGUCGCCAGCCUGGCAGCUGUCCCUGCAGCCCCAUAUUGCAGGGGGGAUGCGGGGGCAGCCCGGUGAGGCGGAGCAGGGAAACUGGGUGCGAGGAGGAGGGGCUGGAGGUCUGAACAACUAAAUCGCACUAUCACUAGGUGCCCCCUGAUUCUCAACGGGAGCGCCACUGCAGGGGGGACAGUGGCAGUGCCGGGAGGGAGGGCAAAGGAGUAUUAUCCGGUUCUCCUGGGUCUCCCCUCCUCCCUGUUCUCCCCUUCUCCUCUUUACCUCCCCUUUUUUUCCAUCCUAGACCACAGCCCCCCUACUGUCCUGCUCUGGAAUUCAUCGCCUGCCUGCCCCCUACCAUCCUGCCUUGGAAUUCAUCGCCUGCCUGCCGACAGCCACCCCAGGACACGCCUGCUUCAUCAUUCCUGGGCACCUCAGCCAAGACAACUCCAGCCCCUCUCCUGGGGUGUGCCCUGGGGCCUCCAGCUGUCCCUAACCUUCUGCAGGGCCCCUUCUCCCUCCUCCUCUCUCCCCUCCACCUCCCCCACCCAGGACACACAUUUCCAGGCAGGCAGCUGGCCACGCCUAAACAGAGGUAUGAGGGAGGUGGGAGAGAAGAUGGCCCUGGGGUGACGUGCUCUUGCCAAAUCCCUGGGAUGGACCUGGGGACAGGGGAGAGUCAACUAGUUACGGUCACACCUGCUGAGGCUUUUCCACUUCAGAAUUUGCGGGGAGGAUAUCCGUUUCCUCCGACAGGAGAGUAUCAUCGGCCUUCCCGUUUCCAGGAAGAAUGAGAUGAAGUUACAGGAGGAACGAGAGAGCGUCCCCGGCUCGUGCAGGACGAGGCGUGUGAUUGUCUCUGCGUCGCCGGCCUGGCAGCUGUCCCUGCAGCCCCAUAUUGCAGGGGGCGAUGCGGGGGCAGCCCGGUGAGGCGGAGCAGGGAAAUUGGGUGCGAGGAGGAGGGCUGGAGGUCUGAACAACUAAGCUGCACUGCCACUAGGUGCCCCCUGAUUCUCAAUGGGAGCACCAUUGCAGGGGGGACAGUGGCAGUGCCAGGAGGGAGGGCAAAGGAGCAUUAUUGGUUUCUCCUGGGUCUCCCCUCCUCCCUGUUCUUCCCUUCUCCUCUUUGCCUCCCCUUUUUUUCCAUCCUAGACCACAGUCCCCCUACUGUCCUGCUCUUACAUGACAUGCAUCGCCUGCCUACCCCCUACCCAUCCUGCUCUGGAAUUCAUCGCCUGCCUGCCCACAGCAAUCCCAGGACACACCUGAUUCAUCAUUCUGCUGGACCUCAGCCAGGACAACUCCAGCACCCCCUCCCCGGCUGUCCCCUGGGGCCUCCAACUGUCUCCAACUUUCUCCAGAGCCCUUCCCCCUCCUCUGAGGACGGCAGUCCUGAACUGACCUGUUUUCAGCCUGACUUGAAAUGGACAACCCGGACAACAGUGGACAGUGGAAAACAAGCUUGAAGUUGGAAGAGGAGCGUGAACUGCUGAAGAAUACUGACAGAGCUCUCAGGGAAGAAAAUGCAUUCCUCUAGGAUCGGCUGAAAACCACUCAUUUAGAACAACAAGAAAAUAGCAAGCUAGCAAAGCCACCGGGUAAAUUAAAGCUGUGUGCUCACUGGGCCAGCUAUGAUGCUGAAUUUGCCAAGGCUUGGAAGGUCUUCUACCAAAGCUUGAACAGUGAAGGGCCAGUCCCUGCAGCUGAGACACUACAGAGCACCUGUACAUAGACUGGAAUUCCAAAUGGUUUCUCGAGGGCAGAGUUGGCUGUUCUGUUCCCCGACUUGCCACGAUAUCAGACAGCACGUGGAUCAUCCUGCAACAAGCAUUCUCAAGUUCCUGAAACCACCCCAGAUCCUUACUUGCCUGCCGUUUGACCUGGGGAGGACGACAGGCAGUUGCAUCUUUUUACUGAAAGACAGGCACAUAUGCUAAAGGCCUUUGAGGAACUGCUAGACUGAAGUUUCUCUGGAAACUGAAAAAGAAGAGAGAAAAUUCAGUGCCCAGCUAAUGUGCAGACUCUACUUGCCUAGCACAUCUUUGAAAGUUACUAGGCCAAUUAUUUUGUACAACUGAAAGACAUUUUCAAGCCCCCUCAUAUUCUGUUGGUAAACCUGUCCUACCCAAUUGGGAUCUUCAAACUUCUGUAAAGAUAAUACAGUUUAAGUCGUAUGCUUUAAA
Molecule: long non-coding RNA, 8196 nt
Organism: Ornithorhynchus anatinus (platypus)
Lineage: Eukaryota; Metazoa; Chordata; Mammalia; Monotremata; Ornithorhynchidae
Exons: 8
Source: RefSeq, a predicted model, not a curated record